Molecule: long non-coding RNA, 212 nt
Filed under: Brassica napus (rape)
Lineage: Eukaryota; Viridiplantae; Streptophyta; Magnoliopsida; Brassicales; Brassicaceae
Description: long non-coding RNA (BNAP_LNC010273)
Source: RNAcentral
AUUUGCAUUUGAUUACAACUUAAAAGAUUAACUAAUUUGGAAUUUUUUAUGUAACUAUAUAUCGUUUAAAUAUCAUAUCAAAAAAUUAUAAGUAAUAAAAAAUUUAUGAGUUUAGUAAAAUUUGCAUCUUAUGAAAAUUUUACAAUAUUUAAAUACACUAAUUUCAAAACAUUUUGUAUUAAUUAUUUAUAUUAUUAAAAUAUUUAGUAUUA